This 73-nucleotide transfer RNA is filed under the name Methanomassiliicoccus sp. RNAcentral's name for it is "tRNA-Val". It matches the Rfam family "tRNA". Rfam says of the family: Transfer RNA (tRNA) molecules are approximately 80 nucleotides in length. Their secondary structure includes four short double-helical elements and three loops (D, anti-codon, and T loops). The record is from RNAcentral. Lineage: Archaea; Methanobacteriati; Thermoplasmatota; Thermoplasmata; Methanomassiliicoccales; Methanomassiliicoccaceae. RNAcentral also lists the same sequence under 1 other name.
GGGCCCAUGGUCUAGCGGUUAUGACACCUGCUUGACAUGCAGGUAAUCACCGGUUCGAAUCCGGUUGGGCCCA